RNAcentral lists this ribosomal RNA (453 nucleotides) under uncultured bacterium. RNAcentral's name for it is "bacterial SSU rRNA". It matches the Rfam family "Bacterial small subunit ribosomal RNA", at positions 28 to 479 of the family's 1533-position model. The record is from RNAcentral.
GAUUAACGCUAGCGGCAGGCCUAAUACAUGCAAGUCGAGGGGCAGCAGGGUGUAGCAAUACAUCGCUGGCGACCGGCGCACGGGUGCGUAACACGUAUGCAACCUACCUUUAACUGGGGAAUAGCCCUCCGAAAGGAGGAUUAACACCGCAUAACAUCACGAGACGGCAUCGCCUUGUGAUCAAACCUCCGGGGGUUAAAGAUGGGCAUGCGUCCGAUUAGCUAGUUGGCGGGGUAACGGCCCACCAAGGCGACGAUCAGUAGCUGGUCUGAGAGGAUGAUCAGCCACACUGGAACUGAGACACGGUCCAGACUCCUACGGGAGGCAGCAGUAAGGAAUAUUGCUCAAUGGCCGAAAGGCUGAAGCAGCAACGCCGCGUGGAGGAUGAAAUACUUUUGUAUGUAAACUCCUGUGAGAAGGGAAAAUAUGCAGAUUUUCUGCGUUGAUUGUACC